AUCCAGCUGACGAGUCCCAAAUAGAAGGAAACGCGCGUUUUGGAU
RNAcentral lists this non-coding RNA (45 nucleotides) under Schistosoma mattheei. The record is from RNAcentral. Lineage: Eukaryota; Metazoa; Platyhelminthes; Trematoda; Strigeidida; Schistosomatidae.